AGUAUCACUUCAUUUUCUGAACAAGUGACACCAGCAUGUCUUCCAUGUCUUCUAUGCAGAGGCUUCUAUUCUGUAUUCUCAUCCCCAUGUAUCUGGCUCAGAAAGUCACCAUUACCCAGAAUCCCCCACUGGUCGUAGGCACGGCCGGCUCUGAGGUGGUGAUGACCUGUGAACAGAUGACUACAGACCAUGAGUGGAUGUUCUGGUAUCACCACCGCCGGGGGCAGGGGCUGGAGAUGGUCACCUACAUGCUGAGAGGAAAUCCACCCGACUAUGAAGAUGGCUACAAGGUCGGCUACCAGAUGAACAGGACAAAAGGAGACAAACUCAGCUUUCUAAGGAUCACGUCUGCUGAAGCCAAGGAUGAGGGGAGUUAUUUCUGCGCUUCCAGUGAUGCACGGUGACACAAUGAGCCCGACGGCUUUGAUGUAACCUCAGUGCACAAUAAUAGUGAACACCCGUCACCAGCACA
Hyla sarda is the source of this 472-nucleotide non-coding RNA. The record is from the annotation of a RefSeq genome assembly. NCBI's taxonomy places the organism in Eukaryota, Metazoa, Chordata, Amphibia, Anura, Hylidae.